Vidua chalybeata is the source of this 1918-nucleotide long non-coding RNA. RefSeq lists it as uncharacterized. The record is from RefSeq and is a predicted model, not a curated record. Lineage: Eukaryota; Metazoa; Chordata; Aves; Passeriformes; Viduidae. The transcript is spliced from 3 exons.
UCUUGGCCUGGAAGUUUUAGUGGAGUUGCCCCUGAAGGAUCCUAAUUCAAGACAAAACUCCUGAAGACCCAUGGCACAUUUUGGUUUCUAACUUUACCACUCAGAGACUCCUGCAUGUCGGGAGACAUUCUGUAGCUGUUUUAGUACAAAAAUCUUUACUGGAAGUGGUAAUGGCUGUUAAAGAGAAAUUUAUUAGAGAGUGGAUCUUGUAAAGAAGAAAACAAGUCCAGACUAUAUUUAUUUGCACAUAUCGGCUUGGACAUUUUAAGGAAUACUUGUACUCUUAACUGGCUCAGGUGUUUGGUUUGUUUUGGGUUUUUUCAUUUUAGUGCAGACAGAAUUAUACCCUGUAACAACUCUGAUAAGACUUGGAAAGGAAACAUAUAUUCAAAGAGUUUUAACUUGGCUUGCUUUAUUUUCCCUUUUUAAAAAUAGCAUUUUUCAGAUUAUGCUUAUAUUUCUAGGGUUUUUUCCCCUCUCUAGAUAAACACCAUCAGCUUACACCAUCAUAUCAUUGUUACUGUGCAGCAGGCUACCUAAGUAAAUUCUGGUUUUCAGCCUCUGUUGUUAAAACCCAUUUUUGUUUUAAUAUAACUAAAUUGGUGUGGAAAGGUAGGAAUAUUGCCUGUUAUUGCAAUGCUGUAAAUACAUUGUGUAUGGAAGACCUAAGUGAUAAAGAGCUUAAUUAACUGUGAUUUAUAUGGAUCUAUAUGAUCAUGAAAUCACCAGAGUUUGCAGCAACCUAAUUUGUUUUUAAUAAGUGUUGCCUGAAAGACUAGUAAUUACAGUAAUAAACCAAUUAGUGAACUAAAGCAUAGUAAAUUUAAAAACAAAAGCAGUCACAGGAUAUUUCCUUAGGAAUCCUAAGUUCUUCAUGUUUAUAAAAGUUACUUCAUGUUUAUAUUACACUGGAACUGCAGUAGCACCUGUAACAGGUGAAUUUUCAAGCAAUUUCCUACUCUAAACUCACAUUUUUGAGGUUUCCAGAAAUAUUUAUGCUUUGGCUUAACAGUUUAAGCAUAGUCCCAAAGCUGCCUUGUUGAUUUAAGUGGAUGCUGUUAAUAUUAUUUCUGUGCUGUGUGUGGGUAAGAAGCCCUGAGUAGACCCAGAAGUUGGCAGGCUGGGGUGAGGCCACAGUGAAGGACUCUGGAGAGCCAGCCUGUGGAUUAAUAGAGCAAGAGUCGCCCUUGGCAAAGCCAACAAUUGUUGAGUGAUAUAUGAACUAGACAAGUAAGAAGCAAAAUCAUUAUUUUCACUAUUUCAAGUCAAAUACAGUUCAGCAGGAAUAAACCAACAUGCAGAGGUCAGGCUGUCUGAGAGAUGAUGGGAGCCCCACCCUCAGCAACUGGACACUUACACACAUGCUAUCUUGGCUGUGCUAGUCACUUCUGCUAGGACACCUUGUGUUGCAUCCUGGGGUAGAGAACAAAAGCAAACGCUGCAACCUUGGAACAGAUUUUUUUGGAAAGAACUGGAAAAAGGAGGGGCUGCAACUGCCAUAAAUGCCUGCUUCACCUUACAGAUUAUCCUGAAACAACAGCUGGCAGACGUGCUGACAAAAGCAACCCUGUCUCAGGAAAGAAUUCUCUCCAGAAAAGAUUGAGAUCUCAAAAUUCAAUUUUCAAAUAAUUUUAAAAGCUCACAAAGAGCAGAAAACAUCACCCUUUGUGGUGCAGAAGUGCAGGGUCUCAGAACAGAGGUGACUUGACCACGGCACAUAUUGAUUUUGAUGUCUAUGAAUUCUCCAGGCCCCAAAGAUCCACGCAGUUUAGACAUGAGUUGCCAGACGUGAGCUGGUACAUGGUGGGACACCAGCUGCUUCGCUGUCCAUCACCAGUUGUGAUGUCCUGUUGUGAAAAUACCUUCUCACCGUGCCACGCGUGUGCUCUUACAGUGCACAUUAAACAAUUCAUGCUGG